Molecule: long non-coding RNA, 1222 nt
Organism: Oncorhynchus mykiss (rainbow trout)
Lineage: Eukaryota; Metazoa; Chordata; Actinopteri; Salmoniformes; Salmonidae
Source: RefSeq, a predicted model, not a curated record
CCAGCGCCAUGUUGGAAGUCUUCCAAUCGUCCACAUGGUUGGCUGCAUUUUGCUACCACCGGAAAGAACUUGAAGAAUGCCCAUUAUUUCGUUUUUGUAAGGACACAGAAAACGGACGCAGAGAGAGAACGUAUUCAAAUACAGAGCUGUGAAACCCUGUCUGCAGAUGAAGAGGUCCCAAUGAACGUCCCAAGAGAAUAAGGGUGGUGAAACGUCUGGAAGUAGGAGAUGAUGGGAUCCUUCUCUUCAAACAUACAACUACUACCACCAAGUUCAAUGCCAGAUACUUUUCUCCCAGAAGGUCUGAGUGGCACUUGGAGGUGCCACUGUGAUAAUGAAGAUGGUUUGCCAAAGACUACCACAACAGUUACAUGGUCUAUGCUUAAUGUGUUUAAAUUGUAAAUGAGAAAAAAUAGUUGGGCUAUAAGAAAUACUUUUUUAUUCAAUGGGGCUAGGCAAAGCAGAGAUGACAUUACUUUUGUAUUUCACCCAUAUACUAGCUAGCCUAUUAUUAAAGUACAGUAUGUUUACAAUAUCAUAAGCAAUAGUAUUUUACACGUUCCAAAUAUUUUUUUAAAUGUUCAUACGGUUUAAGGGGGCACUUUUAUCAUGACGACAAGGUGAAAGGUUGCUAGAUCGAAUCUCCGAGCUGACAAGGUAAAAAUAUGUCGUUCUCCCCCUGAACAAGGCAGUUCCUAGGCCGUCAUUGUAAAUAAGAAUUUGUUCUUAACUGGCUUCCCUAGUUAAAACAGGUGCUCUUUUCAAAUUGCACAACAGAAGCAUUCAGAUUGACCAAAGCACAGCAUAUAACUACCAUCUCAUAUAACUGAGGGAUGUCUCUUUUCAUAUCUGGAAAAGGACAAAGUAGUAGAAGUAGAAACUGCUGCUGCAGUACUGCUCAUCUUCACAGUGGGAAUCCAGUUGACAUGGGUGUCUUGAUAGAGGUCAGCUGGUGAACCUACAGUACAUAAAACAAAUGAGAAGCACACCAGAUGUUAGAAUAGCACUUCUUCGGGUCACCUAUACCACCAGGGCUCUUAAAUUGUUUGGUUGUGUUUAAUUCAUUCUGGGGUUUUAGUAUCAUAUAAAGAUAAUCUAUUGUUGACCUGGAACACACAAUAGUCAACACAGCAGGUUGUCCUAUCCCAUUGAGGCCUUUGUCCUAUGCUGUAAUGUACAUCCAUUUUCCCUCUUAUGAAUAAAGUUCUCAGAAAAUUAUCAA